Molecule: long non-coding RNA, 858 nt
Organism: Dermacentor andersoni
Lineage: Eukaryota; Metazoa; Arthropoda; Arachnida; Ixodida; Ixodidae
Source: RefSeq, a predicted model, not a curated record
UCUUUGCCUAACGACGUACGACCGACUCGCCCAACAAUAUGCAUUAUUGAAGAAAGAAGCACAAAGCCGUUUCCAUAAACGUAUUGCGCGACAACAAUGGAUGAGGCCCAUGGCUAUGGUGAAGUGUUCUUGCACUGCGCACCUGUGAAGUGGGAGCUACUAUACAUUCAACUGCCGUUCGCGCUUUAUGGCUACAUAUGGAUGUGUCUCGUGGAAUAUUGUCGGUUUCCCCUUCUCGGUUCCCUUUGGCAGCGAGUGCAUGGCGCUGCAGGCGCUUUUUGUGAUUCUCUUCGCUUCAAGUUUCGCCUUGUUGGAAUCUAAGCUCCCUGACCAACGCCCACGAGCUUUCAGUAUUCGAAAGUUUUUAUCGACAGAAGAACGUAUCUGGACAUACAGCACAACAAAGCCGUCAAGUCAUCGGUGCCAAGUGGACGAAAUGCUUGAUGAGAAAAAAACUUCAAUAUUUUUCAAGCGAUGGUUUUAUCUCAACCUGCAAAAGACAAGUAGGAACAUUUUGGGAAAGUUCGAUUCAAGCCGCAAGAAACGCAUGGAGGUCGUUCUUCCAGGUCGCAAUUACACAGUCAAAGAGGAUAUUCUGUACAUGAGUGAAAACUUUGGAUGUGCGGUGACUAUGAUUACGAAGAAAACGCAGAGUUUGUAUUAAUUUUAGUAAAACCAUCAUGUACAACCUGCGAGUAAAAAAUUCUACAAUAAUAGGUGGCCAUUUCACUGACUGUAAAGUGAAAUUCAGUGAGUAUGAGAAGAGAGCUGUACAAGUAUUGUAUACAACCGGAUGCCAGAACAUAUUUGCCAAAUUUAAGUCUGCAAGCCACAAAUAAAAAAAUCGUUAAAACGCAA